Long non-coding RNA from Papaver somniferum (opium poppy), 1240 nucleotides. RefSeq lists it as uncharacterized. The transcript has 5 exons. NCBI's taxonomy places the organism in Eukaryota, Viridiplantae, Streptophyta, Magnoliopsida, Ranunculales, Papaveraceae. The record is from RefSeq and is a predicted model, not a curated record.
AAGAAAUAAAUACAUAAACAUUCAAGAGAUAAAUUAUCUUUGAAUUGUAAACCGAUAAUUUAUGUUUCUUUGUGUAAAUACAAAUUCUGAUUUUGAUGUAAUGUUGCCUGUGUGAUUUUAUCAGUUUUGUUUUUUUGUCGGCCCUCACUGCUGCAUCAGUAAUCUGGUUAUCCUUUCUUUUUUUAACUCUCGAUUCUCACACUUAUUUUCAUCUGAUUUAAACAGAAAGCCUAAAAUUGAAACCAUCCACCGCCAUCUCCAUCGCUACCACCACCAUCUCCUCAGCCAUCGCCACCACCACUACUUUCGCCACAGUUUCAGUAUGAAAAUCGAUUUUGAAGAUCGAUAAGAACAAUCUACAUGAAGAUUAUAUCAAAAGGUGAUUAAUCAAUCAAACAAACACGGGAGGAGGUGGUGGUGAUGAUGAUGUAACUCGGUUAGUAAAACAAUGUCUUUUAUUGUAUUUCGAUCUAGUGUUGCUAAUUGUAGUUGUGGUGGUGGUGGUAGAUGUUGUUGCAAUAGUGAUGAUGUAACUCGGUUAGUAAAACAAUGUCUUUUAUUGUAUUUCGAUCUAGUGUUGCUCCUUGUUGUUGUGGUGGUGGUAGAUGUUGUUGCAAUGGAGACAACGGUGGAUUUUAUUGUACUAGUUUGGCUGGGGGUGUUGGUGAUAGCAGCAUAAGUAUUUUUUGAUGCAUGUAAGAGCAGCAGUAGAGUGGUAGUGUAGAUGGUGGCAGCAACAGUGCUAUAUUAGAAGCUCUAGCUUGUAGUCUACUGUCAAGUGGUGGUGAAGGUUUUGGGGGUGCGGAAGUUAUGGUGGUGGAGCCAGUGGGAGUCCGAGUUGAGAUCUGUGUAUGUGGAGAGAGAGAGAGAGUAAGAACUAAAAAUGAAAAACAGUCGAUCUUAAUGCGUUUGUAAAGGUGAUAUUUGUACAAAAUUGAUAUUUAUGCACUUGUUUAUUUUAUGUACUGCGAUCAAAACCCUAGUAUCCCAAUUAUAAAGUAGAGGCCGAUCUUCGGAUUGGACGGGUUAGGUGUCUCACACCUUCCUAUCCCGUAUCUUGAUUCUCGGACCUUUCUCUGUAAAUUGGACCAGUGCUUCUUUUGGGUCCCAUCUCCCUAAGUUGGGUGGCGGCUUCGAUUAUGAAUAAUUUCCAAGUGUAAUAGCCAUUUUAGAUAUUUAGAGAUCCUAACCGAUUUCGACGGUAUCUACAGUUCCAACUACAAUGUUUGUGUGCAAAAAA